UACGUAGGUUGCGAGCGUUGUCCGGAAUUAUUGGGCGUAAAGAGCUCGUAGGCGGUGUGUCACGUCGGCCGUGAAAACCUGCAGCUUAACUGUGGGCGUGCGGUCGAUACGGGCAUCACUGGAGUUCGGCAGGGGAGACUGGAAUUCCUGGUGUAGCGGUGAAAUGCGCAGAUAUCAGGAGGAACACCGGUGGCGAAGGCGGGUCUCUGGGCCGAUACUGACGCUGAUGUGCGAAAGCCAGGGGAGCGAACGGG
RNAcentral lists this ribosomal RNA (254 nucleotides) under uncultured bacterium. RNAcentral's name for it is "partial 16S ribosomal RNA". It matches the Rfam family "Bacterial small subunit ribosomal RNA", at positions 524 to 776 of the family's 1533-position model. The record is from RNAcentral.